CAAUCGCACGGACAAACAUCAGAUCACGCUUACAGCACUAGGACAGGACUUAAACCAGCACGCAGGACCGCCCGGUUAGCGGGAGAACUUCAGCUCAAAGAUGAGCAGAUCAGGACACAAGCUCAGGAACAACGCUCACUUUAGUCUGGAGCUACAUAUAAAAACACGUCUGACUGGAGCAAAAACUUCCACGAUCUCUUCAUCACGAGGAUAACGUCUGCACACUUCCUACACUGCAGGGAUAAUCAAACACAGAUGAAGCAGCCUGAACUGGAGCCGUCUGCAGUUGAGUAUGAAGAUCAGACGAGGAGCAUCACCAUCAGCAUCACCAUCAGCCUCCCUCACAGUCUAACGCUGCAUACACGCUUCUCCUUAACACGGAUUCAGUUAACACAGCUUUAAAAACCGCCCUGAUUAUUAGCAUAAGAUAUAACACAAAUAUCAGAAAUGCUGUUUUCCUUUAGAACAGCCAGGCUCCGCCUCCCUGCUGCUGGAAUUACAAGACUAAACCGAGUCCCACGUUCACACUUACGACGCUGAUGGACACAGACUGGCGUCAAGGCAUUUCCCAUCUAAUAUUUCAUAAAAAUUGUGACCCAGUCACAGCUUGACUUAUUCUAGCGAUGUGUUACACCACAGGAUGACAGAGAAAAAGUACUGACUGGACCUGUAUAAUAAACACCCUUACUGUUACUGCAACACGGGUUUCUGUAAUAAACACACAGCUGCAGCCUGA
Long non-coding RNA from Pygocentrus nattereri (red-bellied piranha), 736 nucleotides. RefSeq lists it as uncharacterized. The transcript has 2 exons. The record is from RefSeq and is a predicted model, not a curated record. NCBI's taxonomy places the organism in Eukaryota, Metazoa, Chordata, Actinopteri, Characiformes, Serrasalmidae.